RNAcentral lists this long non-coding RNA (331 nucleotides) under Ananas comosus (pineapple). RNAcentral's name for it is "long non-coding RNA (ACOM_LNC021505)". The record is from RNAcentral. Lineage: Eukaryota; Viridiplantae; Streptophyta; Magnoliopsida; Poales; Bromeliaceae.
CGCCCCUAUUUCUUCUCAAAAUUAUACUGUCUACAGCCGAUAUAAUUUUUCUUGACUGAAACAGACACUCCUUCAAUCACUCACUCCACUCUAGGAGGAAUUAAAACAACUCAAUCGCUGACUUUCGCGAUAAAUCAUGCCUCUCGCGUCUUACCUUCCUAAGGUUUGCCAAGCUUAAGAUUUUCUAGGUCCUAACGACUAAUACUAAGCUCCUGAUACCAAUUUAAUCUGUCACGCCCCAGUUUACCACAUUUCCCCGAGCACGCCAACAGACCCGCCGUAUACAUAGGAAUUUCACCUGUAUACGAAGCGUUAGCUAUACCUUUAAACA